CCUACGGGAGGCAGCAGUGGGGAAUAUUGCACAAUGGGGGAAACCCUGAUGCAGCAACGCCGCGUGAGUGAAGAAGUACUUCGGUAUGUAAAGCUCUAUCAGCAGGGAAGAAGAUGACGGUACCUGAAUAAGAAGCCCCGGCUAACUACGUGCCAGCAGCCGCGGUAAUACGGAGUGGGCAAGCGUUAUCCGGAUUUACUGGGUGUAAAGUGAGCGCAGACGGCAGUGCAAGUCUGGAGUGAAAGCCCGGGGCCCAAACCCGGAACUGCUCUGGAAACUGGGCGGCUGGAGUACUGGAGGGGCAGGCGGAAUUCAUGGUGUAGCGGUGAAAUGCGUAGAGAUUAGGAGGAACACCAGUGGCGAAGGCGGCCUGCUGGACAGUAACUGACGUUGAGGCUCGAAAGCGUGGGGAGCAAACAGGAUUAGAUACCCCGGUAGUC
RNAcentral lists this ribosomal RNA (440 nucleotides) under uncultured bacterium. Its description in RNAcentral is "partial 16S ribosomal RNA". It matches the Rfam family "Bacterial small subunit ribosomal RNA", at positions 338 to 795 of the family's 1533-position model. The record is from RNAcentral.